Molecule: ribosomal RNA, 216 nt
Filed under: uncultured bacterium
Lineage: Bacteria
Description: partial 16S ribosomal RNA
Rfam family: Bacterial small subunit ribosomal RNA
Source: RNAcentral
UACAGAGGGUGCGAGCGUUAAUCGGAAUUACUGGGCGUAAAGCGCGCGUAGGCGGCUUUGCAAGUCGAGUGUGAAAUCCCCAGGCUUAACCUGGGAACUGCAUUCGAGACUGCAUAGCUAGAGUAUGGGAGAGGGAAGUGGAAUUUCAGGUGUAGCGGUGAAAUGCGUAGAUAUCUGAGGAAGACAGCGCGAAGCGAGCUCUCGACCAUGCGUACG